GAGGGUUUUACUGUCUCUUACUUCCAAUCAGUGAAAUUGACCUUCCCGUGAAGAGUGCUGGGAAUGCACAAAUAAGACGAGAAGACCCUAUGGAGCUUUAACUAACCAACCCAAAGAGAAUAGAUUUAACCAUUAAGGAAUAACAACAAUCUCCAUGAGUUGGUAGUUUCUGGUGGGGUGACCUCGGAGAAUAAAAAAUCCUCCGAGCGAUUUUAAAGACUAGACCCACAAGUCAAAUCACUCUAUCGCUCAUUGAUCCAAAAACUUGAUCAACGGAACAAGUUACCUAGGGAUAACAGCGCAAUCCUAUUCAAGAGUCCAUAUCGACAAUAGGGUUUACAGAACUCGAUGUUCGGAUCAGGACAUCCUGAUGGU
Molecule: ribosomal RNA, 375 nt
Filed under: Bos taurus (domestic cattle)
Lineage: Eukaryota; Metazoa; Chordata; Mammalia; Artiodactyla; Bovidae
Description: similar to 16S ribosomal RNA
Rfam family: Bacterial large subunit ribosomal RNA
Source: RNAcentral